RNAcentral lists this ribosomal RNA (468 nucleotides) under uncultured bacterium. Its description in RNAcentral is "partial 16S ribosomal RNA". It matches the Rfam family "Bacterial small subunit ribosomal RNA", at positions 28 to 507 of the family's 1533-position model. The record is from RNAcentral.
GACGAACGCUGGCGGCGUGCUUAACACAUGCAAGUCGAACGGAAAGGCCCUGCUUUUGUGGGGUGCUCGAGUGGCGAACGGGUGAGUAACACGUGAGUAACCUGCCCUUGACUUUGGGAUAACUUCAGGAAACUGGGGCUAAUACCGGAUAGGAGCUUCUGCUGCGUGGUGGGGGUUGGAAAGUUUCGGCGGUUGGGGAUGGAUUCGCGGGUUACCGGCUUGUUGGUGGGGUUGGUGCAUACCAAGGGUUUGACGGGUAGGCCGCCUGGGAGGGGGGACGGGCACAAUAGGCCUGAGGGAGGGACCAGGAUGCUACCGGCGGCAAUGGGGGGGAAUCUGACAGAACGGGGCGGAGCGAGAGGGGAAGACCCCCGGGUCGGGAUGACGGCCUUCGGGUUGUAAACCGCUUUCGACUGUGACGAAGCGUGAGUGACGGUAAUGGGUAAAGAAGCAACGGCUAACUACGUG